UCUCCUUUGGAGGAAUCAAAAUCUUUGAUGAGAAGACAGGGGCCCUUCAGCAUCAUCAUGCUGUUCAUGAAAUAUCCUACAUUGCAAAGGACAUUACAGAUCACCGGGCCUUUGGAUAUGUUUGUGGGAAGGAAGGGAAUCACAGAUUUGUGGCCAUAAAAACAGCCCAGGCGGCUGAACCUGUUAUUCUGGACUUGAGAGAUCUCUUUCAACUCAUUUAUGAAUUGAAGCAAAGAGAAGAAUUAGAAAAAAAGGCACAAAAAGAUAAGCAGUGUGAACAAGCUGUGUACCAGGUAUACCUGUGAAUUUAUCCUUGCGCUGGAGAUCGGGGCUUCAAAUAAACACAUGUAAAAACUGACAGUCAGGCCUUCUCUUCCUGCUGCCAAGUAGAAAUAAACAAAGAUGAAAGAUUCCUGUGUAAAUUACAGGACCCAAAGCAAGCCAUUAGAAAUUAUUCCUUAUUCUCUUAAACUCUAGACAUGUUAGAUGAAGUGAAAUCUCGAAUCCAGAGAAAGAUUUCAGGGGUGGAGGACCCAAGAAACACAACUGCUUUUGCUGUUGUUAACAGUGUGGGUGGAGGUAGGAGUAGCUCUAAGGAUUUUGACUUUUUUGUGUUUUUUCUACCUUGAUGCCCCAC
This 637-nucleotide small RNA is filed under the name Pan troglodytes (chimpanzee). RNAcentral's name for it is "processed transcript". Lineage: Eukaryota; Metazoa; Chordata; Mammalia; Primates; Hominidae. The record is from RNAcentral.